Molecule: ribosomal RNA, 528 nt
Filed under: uncultured Planctomycetota bacterium
Lineage: Bacteria; Pseudomonadati; Planctomycetota
Description: bacterial SSU rRNA
Rfam family: Bacterial small subunit ribosomal RNA
Source: RNAcentral
UUGGAUGACCUGCCUNCGAGACGGGGACAACAGUUCGAAAGGACUGCUAAUACCCGAUGGUCCUUUCCGGAUGCGUCCGGGACGGUAAAUGGUUGAUUCCGCUCGAUGAGGGGUCCAAGUCCUAUCAGCUAGUUGGUGAGGUGACGGCUCACCAAGGCGAUGACGGGUAGCCGGACUGAGAGGUCGACCGGCCACAUGGGAACUGAGACACUGUCCUGACUCCUACGGGAGGCUGCAGUCGAGAAUCUUCUGCAAUGGGCGCAAGCCUGACAGAGCGACGCCGCGUGGAGGACGAAGGCCCUCGGGUUGUAAACUCCUGUCACAUGUUAUGAACCGCAUGGGUUACACCCAUGUCUGACAAAAGCAUGAGAGGAAGUCACGGCUAACUUCGUGCCAGCAGCCGCGGUAAGACGAAGGUGGCUAGCGUUAUUCGGAUUUACUGGGCAUAAAGCGCGCGUAGGCGGCUCGACAAGUCGGAGGUGAAAGCCUGCAGCUCAACUGCGGUGUGCCUCCGAAACUGUCGAGCUU